This 416-nucleotide ribosomal RNA is filed under the name Entamoeba histolytica. RNAcentral's name for it is "bacterial SSU rRNA". It matches the Rfam family "Eukaryotic small subunit ribosomal RNA", at positions 1047 to 1449 of the family's 1831-position model. Lineage: Eukaryota; Evosea; Mastigamoebida; Endamoebidae. The record is from RNAcentral.
CUAGAUCUGAGUAUAUCAAUAUUACCUUGUUCAGAACUUAAAGAGAAAUCUUGAGUUUAUGGACUUCAGGGGGAGUAUGGUCACAAGGCUGAAACUUAAAGGAAUUGACGGAAGGGCACACCAGGAGUGGAGCCUGCGGCUUAAUUUGACUCAACACGGGAAAACUUACCAAGACCGAACAGUAGAAGGAAUGACAGAUUAAGAGUUCUUUCAUGAUUUAUUGGGUAGUGGUGCAUGGCCGUUCUUAGUUGGUGGAGUGAUUUGUCAGGUUAAUUCCGGUAACGAACGAGACUGAAACCUAUUAAUUAGUUUUCUGCCUAUAAGACAGAAAUGUUCGCAAGAACAGGUGCGUAAGUACCACUUCUUAAAGGGACACAUUUCAAUUGUCCUAUUUUAAUUGUAGUUAUCUAAUUUCG